GACGAACGCUGGCGGCGUGCUUUAGACAUGCAAGUCGAACGAGAUCUUCGGAUCUAGUGGCGAACGGCGGAGUAAUACAUAAACAACGUGCCCUGAAGACUGGGAUAUGCGGUCGAAAGGCCGAGCAAUACCGGAUGUGGCCGAGACUAGGCAUCUAGACUCGAUUAAAUGGUUUUUCGCUUCAGGAGCGGUUUAUGACUCAUCAGCUAGUUGGUAGGGUAAUGGCCUACCAAGGCUACGACGGGUAGGGGGUCUGAGAGGAUGAUCCCCCCGAGUGGGACUGAGACACGGCCCACACACCUACGGGUGGCAGCAGUUUGGAAUCUUGCCCAAUGGGGGAAACCCUGAGGCAGCGACGCCGCGUGGAGGAUGAAGGAUUUAGGUCUGUAAACUCCUUUUGCCAGGAAAGACUUAGGACGGUACCCGGCGAAUAAGCUCCGGCUAACUACGUGCCAGCAGCCGCGGUAAU
This 469-nucleotide ribosomal RNA is filed under the name uncultured bacterium. RNAcentral describes it as "bacterial SSU rRNA". It matches the Rfam family "Bacterial small subunit ribosomal RNA", at positions 28 to 524 of the family's 1533-position model. The record is from RNAcentral.